This 1346-nucleotide ribosomal RNA is filed under the name uncultured bacterium. RNAcentral describes it as "partial 16S ribosomal RNA". It matches the Rfam family "Bacterial small subunit ribosomal RNA", at positions 28 to 1381 of the family's 1533-position model. The record is from RNAcentral.
GACGAACGCUGGCGGCGUGCUUAACACAUGCAAGUCGAACGGAAAGGCCCUGCUUUUGUGGGGUGCUCGAGUGGCGAACGGGUGAGUAACACGUGAGUAACCUGCCCUUGACUUUGGGAUAACUUCAGGAAACUGGGGCUAAUACCGGAUAGGAGCUCCUGCUGCAUGGUGGGGGUUGGAAAGUUUCGGCGGUUGGGGAUGGACUCGCGGCUUAUCAGCUUGUUGGUGGGGUAGUGGCUUACCAAGGCUUUGACGGGUAGCCGGCCUGAGAGGGUGACCGGCCACAUUGGGACUGAGAUACGGCCCAGACUCCUACGGGAGGCAGCAGUGGGGAAUAUUGCACAAUGGGCGGAAGCCUGAUGCAGGAACGCCGCGUGCGGGAUGACGGCCUUCGGGUUGUAAACCGCUUUCGCCUGUGACGAAGCGUGAGUGACGGUAAUGGGUAAAGAAGCACCGGCUAACUACGUGCCAGCAGCCGCGGUGAUACGUAGGGUGCGAGCGUUGUCCGGAUUUAUUGGGCGUAAAGGGCUCGUAGGUGGUUGAUCGCGUCGGAAGUGUAAUCUUGGGGCUUAACCCUGAGCGUGCUUUCGAUACGGGUUGACUUGAGGAAGGUAGGGGAGAAUGGAAUUCCUGGUGGAGCGGUGGAAUGCGCGGAUAUCAGGAGGAACACCAGUGGCGAAGGCGGUUCUCUGGGCCUUUCCUGACGCUGAGGAGCGAAAGCGUGGGGAGCGAACAGGCUUAGAUACCCUGGUAGUCCACGCUGUAAACGGUGGGUACUAGGUGUGGGGUCCAUUCCACGGGUUCCGUGCCGUAGCUAACGCUUUAAGUACCCCGCCUGGGGAGUACGGCCGCAAGGCUAAAACUCAAAGGAAUUGACGGGGCCCCGCACAAGCGGCGGAGCAUGCGGAUUAAUUCGAUGCAACGCGUAGAACCUUACCUGGGUUUGACAUAGAUCGGGAGUGCUCAGAGAUGGGUGUGCCUCUUUUGGGGUCGGUUCACAGGUGGUGCAUGGCUGUCGUCAGCUCGUGUCGUGAGAUGUUGGGUUAAGUCCCGCAACGAGCGCAACCCUUGUUCACUGUUGCCAGCACGUUAUGGUGGGGACUCAGUGGAGACCGCCGGGGUCAACUCGGAGGAAGGUGGGGAUGACGUCAAGUCAUCAUGCCCCUUAUGUCCAGGGCUUCACGCAUGCUACAAUGGCUGGUACAGAGAGUGGCGAGCCUGUGAGGGUGAGCGAAUCUCGGAAAGCCGGUCUCAGUUCGGAUUGGGGUCUGCAACUCGACCUCAUGAAGUCGGAGUCGCUAGUAAUCGCAGAUCAGCAACGCUGCGGUGAAUACGUUCCCGGGGCU